RNAcentral lists this long non-coding RNA (998 nucleotides) under Marmota monax (woodchuck). Lineage: Eukaryota; Metazoa; Chordata; Mammalia; Rodentia; Sciuridae. The record is from RNAcentral.
GCUGAGGUCUAAGUUGCUGAGGCUGACUUAACUCCGGAUCCUCCACCCUCAGUCUCCGAGCAGCUGGGAUGACAGGCGUGCACCACUGCAACUGGCAACUCCUUGCCUUUUUAAUAAUUUCUUGAAUCUGAGAGAGCUAGCCACUUGACCUUCUCUCCACCUUUUAGAAUAGUGUAUGUUUGUUUUGUUUUGAUUUGAUUUUUUAUGUAAUGCCCAAAGGUGUUAGUGGUACUUAGCAGGAGACACAGGUAAUAGUUAAGUCUAACUCAUCUUCCUGAAAGCAGAAUUAUUCGUAAGUUUUCUGUAUUUUUUUUUAAAGAAACAUCAUUUAGAUAGAAAAAAUCAAGGGAUAUUGAAAUGUUUUCUUUAGAAAACAAGCAAUAUCUGGAAAAUGAAGGAAUACUUGCUGUGAGAUGAUGUUUAUGCCAGUGAUAUUUGAAAGUAUUGCAUUUUAUAUUAAAGCAAUGUCUUGGGUUUUAAAAUGAAGGGAUGGCAAGGUCAGUGAGAAUAAAUUGUAAGUCUGCAAUAUUAAAUGUCUGCUUUGCCUCUUUGAGGCAUACAUUUACAAAAUGUUAUUACAAGCUUUUCAGGCAGCAUUUGCAAUUUUGAGUAAUUUCUGCUGUGGUCUGGCUCUGACCACUUUGCCUUGAAUCCUAAGAAGCAUGUAGUGAUCAAGACAAUUCUUCCAUCUGUUGUGUGAUUGUUUGUUUGUUUUUUCCAGCUCCCAUUCAAUAAUCCAUAGUUAGAGGCUUUCCCACUUUAAAAAACAGAUAUAUCUUCUUUGUUUGCAUUGCAAUUAUGCACACAUUGAAUGAAAAAGAAGACUUUUAAACCUAACUCCUUAAUCAGCAACAGGACAAUUUGUCUGUGAAAAUGUUUCAGAGCAGUGCUCAAUUGCCUAAUCUUAUACUAACUGCAUAAAUUACAUUAUAAACAACACUCAUAUUAAUUGUAUUAUUUUUUCUCAACAUUAUUUUAAGUACAAUUUUUUUUUUUGC